AGAGGGUAGCUGAUUCAGCCAGCCGCAGUGAGAGAGGAGGAGAGGCUGUAUUCCUCACGGUGCCCUCCCCAUGGGGCCAGGCUUUGAAUAUGGAUGCUUUAGCUUAUGAUGACAUCACACACAAGAUACAUUUUGGAGAUUACUUCAUGCAUGACAGAAUUAUCAACAUGAGAUCAUUUCUGCACGGCUCCUGCACUAUAAAAUUUAGCACUACAUCACUGCCAGAGGAGUGCUCUUGAUGCUCUGCCCCUCCCAGGAGCACAAGGACGGCAUUUCUGACAAGCCUCUUUUUGAGAGUGGAGGGGCUCCUUAUAUGCUCUGCCUCCUGGGCAGCUGCAUAUGGGUCUCUCAGAAUCAGGCUGAAGGCAACGAGAAUGCUGGAGCUGAAGAGACUGGUCCCCAGGCUAAGAGGGAAAAAUAUAAAAAGACGGCAUAUAAAAGACUGUGACCAACAUGCAAUAUCCAGUGGUAUGAGAAACUGCUUAAUCUAGAUGUUGCCCAGUCUAAUAGGAUUGAGAAUUUAGACUGCAUGUUUAUAUUUUCUUUUCUUUUGGUAACCACUCUCACUUUUGUCUAUCACUUAGAUGUUAAGUGAUUAUAUCUUUU
Malaclemys terrapin pileata is the source of this 606-nucleotide long non-coding RNA. RefSeq lists it as uncharacterized. The record is from RefSeq and is a predicted model, not a curated record. The transcript is spliced from 4 exons. Lineage: Eukaryota; Metazoa; Chordata; Testudines; Emydidae.